RNAcentral lists this ribosomal RNA (460 nucleotides) under uncultured bacterium. RNAcentral describes it as "partial 16S ribosomal RNA". It matches the Rfam family "Bacterial small subunit ribosomal RNA", at positions 338 to 795 of the family's 1533-position model. The record is from RNAcentral.
CCUACGGGAGGCAGCAGUGAGGAAUAUUGGUCAAUGGGCGCGAGCCUGAACCAGCCAAGUAGCGUGAAGGAUGACUGCCCUACGGGUUGUAAACCUCUUUUGCCGGGGAGCAACGGGCGCCACGUGUGGCGCCACUGCGAGUACCCGGAGAAAAAGCAUCGGCUAACUCCGUGCCAGCAGCCGCGGUAAUACGGAAGAUGCGAGCGUUAUCCGGAUGUAUUGGGUUAAAGGGGUGCGUAGGCGGUGCGUUAAGUCAGUGGUCAAAUUGAGGGGCUCAACCCCUUCCCGCCAUUGAAACUGGCGCUCUUGAGUGGAAGAGAAGUAUGCGGAAUGCGUGGUGUAGCGGUGAAAUGCAUAGAUAUCACGCAGAACCCCGAUUGCGAAGGCAGCAUGCCGGCUUCCGACUGACGCUGAAGCACGAAAGCGUGGGGAUCGAACAGGAUUAGAUACCCGGGUAGUC